AUUGAACGCUGGCGGCAGGCCUAACACAUGCAAGUCGAACGGUAACAGGAAACAGCUUGCUGUUUCGCUGACGAGUGGCGGACGGGUGAGUAAUGUCUGGGAAACUGCCUGAUGGAGGGGGACAACUACUGGAAACGGUAGCUAAUACCGCAUAACGUCGCAAGACCAAAGAGGGGGACCCUCGGGCCUCUUGCCAUCGGAUGUGCCCAGAUGGGAUUAGCUUGUUGGUGGGGUAACGGCUCACCAAGGCGACGAUCCCUAGCUGGUCUGAGAGGAUGACCAGCCACACUGGAACUGAGACACGGUCCAGACUCCUACGGGAGGCAGCAGUGGGGAAUAUUGCACAAUGGGCGCAAGCCUGAUGCAGCCAUGCCGCGUGUAUGAAGAAGGCCUUCGGGUUGUAAAGUACUUUCAGCGGGGAGGAAGGGAGUAAAGUUAAUACCUUUGCUCAUUGACGUUACCCGCAGAAGAAGCACCGGCUAACUCCGUG
RNAcentral lists this ribosomal RNA (490 nucleotides) under uncultured bacterium. RNAcentral describes it as "partial 16S ribosomal RNA". It matches the Rfam family "Bacterial small subunit ribosomal RNA", at positions 30 to 507 of the family's 1533-position model. The record is from RNAcentral.